This 204-nucleotide ribosomal RNA is filed under the name Gilliamella sp. wkB292. RNAcentral describes it as "partial 16S ribosomal RNA". It matches the Rfam family "Bacterial small subunit ribosomal RNA", at positions 1 to 214 of the family's 1533-position model. The record is from RNAcentral. Lineage: Bacteria; Pseudomonadati; Pseudomonadota; Gammaproteobacteria; Orbales; Orbaceae.
UUAAAUUGAAGAGUUUGAUCAUGGCUCAGAUUGAACGCUGGCGGCAGGCUUAACACAUGCAAGUCGAACGGUAACAUGAGUGCUUGCACUUGAUGACGAGUGGCGGACGGGUGAGUAAAGUAUGGGGAUCUGCCGAAUGGAGGGGGACAACAGUUGGAAACGACUGCUAAUACCGCAUAAUGUUGAGAGACCAAAGCAUGGGAC